AUUUGCUCCAUUGGAGUUCAUCUUGUGAGCCCAGGAUAGGCUUCCCUCUUUUCUCCAGCUGGUAAAAUGAAGAAGACAACCUGGGCUCCAUUGUUCUUCACUUGUGCUCCCAGGGCUUUAUAGUCUUCCUUGAUUCUUCUUACAUCCUGCCUUCCAUCAUCAUUUGUACCUAUGUGGAAGAGUAACAGGCCAUGAUAGUCUGUGCUCUUGAUGAACUGUGGACCUUUUCAGCAACAUCCCUGAUCUUGGCUCCCAGGAAGCAGAAGACCUCUCAAGACUCUCUGUCAGGAUGGCAGAGGGGAAUAUUAGUGCCUUUUAACAGGGAGGCACCCGAUAUAAGCACCCGGUGAUUCAUUUCAUACUACUCACUGAAAGCUGCUGAUGUGGUUUCUUCAUGUAGACCUCAGUCACGGGAUUCAGGAGCAUCUAUAGCUGCAAGAGCUUUGUACCUGUUUUGCUGGUGAAGCUGGAAGGAUUCUACUGUUUCUCUCCUCUUCUGCUGUUCUUGGGACACAAUGAAAGGAUGCUUCACAGAGAGAACCAGAUUUCACUCUCAUCACUGUGAUCUAUCCUUAAAGAAUUUUUCAUGGCCAUUUGUCAGUCUCACAAGGCAAUCAGGACCUUCUGACAAAAGAAGAUUAGAAAACUGUCCUUUUAUCU
This is a non-coding RNA of Meleagris gallopavo (turkey), 660 nucleotides long. NCBI's taxonomy places the organism in Eukaryota, Metazoa, Chordata, Aves, Galliformes, Phasianidae. The record is from RefSeq and is a predicted model, not a curated record.